GGUCCGGGCGUUAUCCGGAUUUAUUGGGUUUAAAGGGAGCGCAGGCGGACGUUUAAGUCAGUUGUGAAAUACGGCGGCUCAACCGUCGGGGUGCAGUUGAUACUGGACGUCUUGAGUGCACACAAGGAUGCCGGAAUUCAUGGUGUAGCGGUGAAAUGCUCAGAUAUCACGAAGAACUCCGAUUGCGAAGGCAGCUUACCGUAGCAUUACUGACGCUGAUGCUCGAAGGUGCGGGUAUC
This 239-nucleotide ribosomal RNA is filed under the name uncultured bacterium. Its description in RNAcentral is "partial 16S ribosomal RNA". It matches the Rfam family "Bacterial small subunit ribosomal RNA", at positions 531 to 769 of the family's 1533-position model. The record is from RNAcentral.